GAUGAACGCUAGCGGCAGGCCUAAUACAUGCAAGUCGAGGGGCAGCGCGGUAGCAAUACUGGCGGCGACCGGCGCACGGGUGCGUAACACGUAUGCAACCUACCUUCAACUGGAGGAUAGCCCGGAGAAACUCGGAUUAAUACUCCAUAACACAGGGAUCCCGCAUGGGAAUAUUGUUAAAGCUACGGCGGUUGAAGAUGGGCAUGCGUUCGAUUAGCUAGUUGGUGUAGGUAACGGCUCACCAAGGCUACGAUCGAUAGGGGGUCUGAGAGGAUGAUCCCCCACACUGGUACUGAGAUACGGACCAGACUCCUACGGGAGGCAGCAGUAGGGAAUAUUGGUCAAUGGGCGCAAGCCUGAACCAGCCAUGCCGCGUGCAGGAAGAAGGGCCCCUCUGGGGUUGUAAACUGCUUUUGAUAGGGAACAAAUGCCACUUGCGAGUGGAGCUGAGUGUACCUAUAGAAUAAGCACCGGCUAACUCCGUGCCAGCAGCCG
This 495-nucleotide ribosomal RNA is filed under the name uncultured bacterium. RNAcentral describes it as "bacterial SSU rRNA". It matches the Rfam family "Bacterial small subunit ribosomal RNA", at positions 28 to 517 of the family's 1533-position model. The record is from RNAcentral.